This 252-nucleotide ribosomal RNA is filed under the name uncultured bacterium. RNAcentral describes it as "partial 16S ribosomal RNA". It matches the Rfam family "Bacterial small subunit ribosomal RNA", at positions 524 to 776 of the family's 1533-position model. The record is from RNAcentral.
UACGGAGGAUGCGAGCGUUAUCCGGACUUAUUGGGUUUAAAGGGUGCGCAGGCGGUCUGUUGAGUCAGCGGUCAAAGCCCGGGGCUCAACCCCGGCCCGCCGUUGAAACUGGCAGUCUCGAGUUGGAGAGAAGUAUGCGGAAUGCGCGGUGUAGCGGUGAAAUGCAUAGAUAUCGCGCAGAACUCCGAUUGCGAAGGCAGCAUGCCGGCUCCACACUGACGCUGAGGCACGAAAGCGUGGGUAUCGAACAGG